CCCGCCGGCGACCGGCGCACGGGUGAGUAACACGUAUGGAACCUGCCCGCAGCAGGGGGAUAAGCGGAAGAAAUUCCGUCUAAUACCGCGUAACACCGCGGAGGGGCAUCCCUCGGCGGUUAAAGAUUCAUCGGCUGCGGAUGGCCAUGCGGCGCAUUAGCUAGUCGGCGGGGUAACGGCCCACCGUGGCGACGAUGCGUAGGGGUUCUGAGAGGAAGGUCCCCCACACUGGUACUGAGACACGGACCAGACUCCUACGGGAGGCAGCAG
Molecule: ribosomal RNA, 270 nt
Filed under: uncultured bacterium
Lineage: Bacteria
Description: partial 16S ribosomal RNA
Rfam family: Bacterial small subunit ribosomal RNA
Source: RNAcentral